UACGUAGGGCGCAAGCGUUAUCCGGAAUUAGUGGGCGUAAAGAGCUCGUAGGCGGUUUGUCGCGUCUGCCGUGAAAGUCCGGGGCUUAACCCCGGAUCUGCGGUGGGUACGGGCAGACUUGAGUGAUGUAGGGGAGACUGGAAUUCCUGGUGUAGCGGUGAAAUGCGCAGAUAUCAGGAGGAACACCGAUGGCGAAGGCAGGUCUCUGGGCAUUAACUGACGCUGAGGAGCGAAAGCAUGGGGAGCGAACAGG
This 253-nucleotide ribosomal RNA is filed under the name uncultured bacterium. RNAcentral's name for it is "partial 16S ribosomal RNA". It matches the Rfam family "Bacterial small subunit ribosomal RNA", at positions 524 to 776 of the family's 1533-position model. The record is from RNAcentral.